AUGGCCAGCUCGUCAGCGUUGGAGUUCACCGUGAGGAGGAAACUUGCGGUGCUUGUGCCGCCCGCGGCCCCUACGCCGCGGGAGCUGAAGAGGCUCUCCGACAUCGACGACCAGGACGGGCUUCGCUUUCAGGUCCCCAUCAUCCACUUCUUUCGGCAGCAUGACGGCCGGGACGACGACCCUGCGCCUGUACUACGCGGCGCCAUAGCGGCGGUGCUCGUGCACUACUACCCGUUCGCGGGGCGGCUGAGGGAGCUCGAGGGCCGCAAGCUCGCCGUCGACUGCACCGGCGAGGGCGUGCUGUUCGUCGAGGCUGAUGCCGACGUCUGCCUCGACCAGUUUGAUGCGGCCCUGGGGCCGCCCUUCCCGUGCCUCGACGAGCUCCUAUUCGACGUCCCCGGCUCCUGCGGUAUCCUCGACUGCCCGCUCCUCCUUUUUCAGGUGACACGGCUCGCUUGCGGAGGCUUCGUCAUGGCUGUGAGGGUACAGCACACGAUGGCAGAUGCGGCGGGGAUGGUGCAGCUCCUGGGUGCUAUCGCGGAGCUGGCUCGGGGUGCGCCGGCGCCAACAGUGCAGCCGGUGUGGGGGCGCGAGCUGCUGCAGGCGCCGCUGCUGAACGAUGUACUACUCCCACCGCGCUUUGCGCACCGUGAGUACGAUGAUGUGAUGGACAUGAAUGACGCCAUCGUGCCCUUUGAAUUCAUGGUGCACCACUCCUUCUUCAUUGGAUGGGGGGAGAUCUCUGCCAUCCGAUCCCACCUCCCGUCGGCUCUCAGCCGCGAAGCUACCAACUUCGAGGUCAUCACGGGGUGCCUGUGGAGGUGCCGCACGACAGCUCUGGCCCCCCAUGCCGACGAGGAAAUGAGGAUGAUCUGUACCGUCAACAUCCGUGGCAAAAAAGACACUAUCAUCCCCGUCGGCUACUAUGGCAACGCCUUCGCUUCCCCGGUCGCCAUUUCCACGGCCGGUGACUUGCUCGCCAACCCUGUGAGCUAUGCCGUGGAGCUGGUGAUGAAGGCGAAGCGGGAGGUGGAUGUGGAGUACAUCCUCUCCGUGGCAGCGCUCAUGGCACAACGCGGGCGGCCACACUUUGCGGUGGCACACACCUACCUCGUGUCGGACGUGAGCAAGGUUGGAAUCCGCGACCUUGACUUCGGCUGGGGCAAGCCGGUGUAUGCCGGUCCGGCGAAGGGCGGAGUCGUCGACAUACCAGGCGUCGCCAGCUUCUUCAUUGCUGUAAGGAAUGCCAUGGGCGAGGAGGGUAUCUCAGUCCCCGUGUGCAUGCCUGGCCCCACCAUGGACAAGUUCGUUAACGAGAUGGGCAAGCUCAUGCGCCCGGCAUCGGCUGACACGUUUUCCAAGAUGUGA
RNAcentral lists this ribosomal RNA (1368 nucleotides) under Triticum aestivum (bread wheat). Its description in RNAcentral is "partial small subunit ribosomal RNA". The record is from RNAcentral. Lineage: Eukaryota; Viridiplantae; Streptophyta; Magnoliopsida; Poales; Poaceae.